GCUGCAUUUACAUUCAUACACUCACUGUCUCUCAUACACACAGACACAUAUGCAAGCUGUAUAAAUUACAAGUAGCAAAAUUAGUCUAUGCACGUGUGGUCUUGAUUAAAAGGGUGAGUGUAAAUCUGUGUAUUUGUGUGUAUUUGUAUGUGUGUGUGCUCGUACUGAACAUGAGAACCUCUGUGUCUAUUUGAGUGUGUGAACGUGUGCCUGCACCAGUGUAAUUGUGAACGUCUAUGAGCCUGCCUGUGUGUAUGUGUGUGUGUGUCUCUGUGUAUCUGAUUGUAGGUGAAAGUCUCAGUGAGUCCAUGCGUCAGUGUGACGGUGAGCGUGUAUGUACCGGUACAAGUGGUUUUUUCUGAACUUGCAAGCACAGUGGAAACUAUUGCUGAAUCAAGAGAAAAAAAACCACAGCACAACCCUGACUUCCUCUCUACGACAAAGAGAAAUAAGGAUGUAUGUAAACCGAGUGUCUGUCAUAGGACUGCAGAACGUAAUGCUGUGAGGGUGCUGGGUCGGGGAGGAGUUUUAAUCCAUCAGGAAAGACAUUUAGAGGUGGGGGAGACAACAGGAUUGAAAAGGUAGGGAAAAAGAAGGCAGGAGAACUUUCCAGGCAGUGGAGGCGACAAACAAGGUGGAGGCACCCUGAGGCCCUGCGGCAGCAAUGGGAAAGUAUUCUGCCUGCGCCAUGCUCAUCCUGGCCUUCCUGCAGACAGGCAGAAGCAACAACAGGAUCGCCAUCUUUCAAAAGCGAGGGCACAGCAUGCUGACUGUUUCCUGCGACCUUCUUGGGGAUGAAACUGUGUCCCAGAUCAACUGGGAGAGGAGGAGCGGCACCAACCUCACCACAUUAGGCAUCUUCAACCCAAAGCAUGGCACUUACAUUUCCCAGGAGCUCAAGGACAAGGUGAACAUAGACACCAAAGCCAACUCCCGCAGCACCUCUAUCAUCCUGAAGGAGGCAGACUUCAGCAAUGACACCUGGUUUUGCUGCACUUUCAUUGCCUUUCCUUCGGGGACAAUGAAGGGCUGUGCAGAAAUCACCAGUCUCACUACUGCAGCAGAAAAACACAGCUCUCCUGUACAGGCAGAAACUCUGCUACUGGUGGUCUUCAUAAUCCCGAUCGUCAUCCUUACAGCUAUGCUUUACCUCACCUGGCAACAUUUCCUCAACAGACGGCAAGUGUAUGAAGUAGAGAGGAUGAGCAUAACAGAGACACAGAUGGACACAGAGGAGCCUACAGGAGGGACGUCGCAGUCACUCUCCCAAGCAGAGCAAGCCCAGGCUGUGGAUCUCUCAAAAUUAUAUGCCCAGAUACAGAUCGACCGAUACUAUGAAAGGUUGUGGAAGGCAUACCAGGCUGCAAGGCAUGGUUGGUCGCCCCUGGCCCAGACUGCACCCCGCCAGAUCUACUACCUCCUAGGGGAGCACAGAGUGCCACAAAAAGAUGACGAAGAGCUCCUGCAAACCUGAAGUCACUCCCUUAGUUAACCGGGUUCAAGGGGGUCUGUUGGCAUGGGCUAUGGCAGACUUUGUGGACAGGUUUAAUAUAUAAGAAUUUUCUCUUCCAUUCACAUAAAAUGUAUAUGUUUUUAGAACUGCUGAGUCUAUAAAGAUAUGUAUAGAGAUACCUGGAUAAUAUUGCCUUUUUUGGUAUUCCAGAAAAAAAGACCUAACUGUACUAAACAUGUUUUUGUGUUCUCAUAACAGUUCAUAGAAAUAAUUGUAUUUAUUAUUUGUACUUCCUUGAAAAUGCAAAAAAUAAAGAAAUGAAGUCUAAUCCCA
Long non-coding RNA from Scleropages formosus (Asian bonytongue), 1786 nucleotides. The record is from Ensembl. Lineage: Eukaryota; Metazoa; Chordata; Actinopteri; Osteoglossiformes; Osteoglossidae.